UGCGUAGGCGGACUAAUAAGUCAGUGGUGAAAUCUCUCGGCUCAACCGGGAAACUGCCAUUGAUACUGUUAGUCUUGAGUUCGGUUGAGGUAGGCGGAAUGUGUAAUGUAGCGGUGAAAUGCUUAGAUAUUACACAGAACACCAAUUGCGUAGGCAGCUUACUAGACCGACACUGACGCUGCGGCACGAAAGCGUGGGUAGCGAACAGGAUUAGAUACCCUGGUAGUCC
This 229-nucleotide ribosomal RNA is filed under the name uncultured bacterium. RNAcentral describes it as "partial 16S ribosomal RNA". It matches the Rfam family "Bacterial small subunit ribosomal RNA", at positions 568 to 796 of the family's 1533-position model. The record is from RNAcentral.